UACGUAGGGUGCGAGCGUUAACCGGAAUUACUGGGCGUAAAGCGUGCGCAGGCGGUUUUGUAAGCCAGAUGUGAAAUCCCCGGGCUCAACCUGGGAAUGGCAUUUGGGACUGCAAGGCUCGAGUGCGGCAGAGGAGACUGGAAUUCCUGGUGUAGCAGUGAAAUGCGUAGAUAUCAGGAGGAAUACCGAUGGCGAAGGCAGGUCUCUGGGCUGACACUGACGCUCAUGCACGAAAGCGUGGGGAGCAAACAGG
Molecule: ribosomal RNA, 253 nt
Filed under: uncultured bacterium
Lineage: Bacteria
Description: partial 16S ribosomal RNA
Rfam family: Bacterial small subunit ribosomal RNA
Source: RNAcentral